UAAUCCUUUGAUCUGAGACUACCAUAGAACCUUGUAUACAUGAAUUCAUAUUUUUUGAUUCAUACUCAUUCAUGACUUAAUCAUGUACGGGGUGUUCUAGAUAUGGUAGAAUGUGUAUGGAGGUUGUGAGUAGGUCAACAUGGAAUCGAUCACUCCUGGUAAGAGAAAAUCGCAUCCUACUUGUUCUGAUCGAUUGAUGAUUCAGAAAGUCUUUGAUCAAAGUAGAAUAAAAAUUAAAAAGAGUUUCUAAUAUUUUAUUAAUUGAAUCAUCAUAUAAGAUUGAGAGAAAUAUGAGUAUGAUAUUGGAUUUGACAUCAUUCCAUAUCCAGAGUCAUAUUCGGGGUGCAGGGAGAUCGCAAGAUCAAAUUGCACGGUAACUUUCCACUGA
RNAcentral lists this long non-coding RNA (388 nucleotides) under Elaeis guineensis (African oil palm). RNAcentral describes it as "long non-coding RNA (EGUI_LNC068404)". Lineage: Eukaryota; Viridiplantae; Streptophyta; Magnoliopsida; Arecales; Arecaceae. The record is from RNAcentral.